UCUCUUCUCUCUCUCUUUCUCUCCCUUUUUUAUUCAUCUAUAUACAUAUAUUAUUCUUCACUGACUUCGCUCUUACAAAACCCUCUUCUUUUACUCUCUUUCUCUCUGUCUCUUCACUUUCUUUCUCAUCUCCUGGUUUCACCAUAUAAAAUGAUCGUACCCAACAAGAAGAAGAAAAAGAACAGGAGAUUACGUUGGCUCCAGAGAGCAACUGCUAUAUACUGUUUCUAGAGAUCUUUUCUUCAUUCUAAUGAAGCAUUCAGGUGAAGAAUUCACUGGACCAAACAUCUUUGGUGGCGUACAUGGGAAAGCCAGGCAUUUCUCGUCCCUUCUUGUUCUUCUUGUUCUUGAUCUUUUUUUUUUCUGGUUUUUAAUGAGGGAUGAAUUGAGAUAGUUAAUUACAAGAAAUAUCUGUAAACUGUUUGUUAGAAUUUUCAAGGGAGAUUCAUAGCAAUGGAAAGAAGGUUUGACUGCUGGUUUCCCAGGUCACUCCUUGCACCUUAUUUUCUACUAUUUUCUUUCUUUAUUAUUUUUUUUUCAAAUCUGGUUCAUAUCCUUCACCUUUAUCAAGUACAUGUAAUGAUCUUUAUUUUGCAUAGACUAGGCUCCACGUCGGUUGUGGAUGUAUGUGUGUAGGUUCAUAAACGUUGCCAAAGCUCCUCCCAGUUAGUAAUUACAUGGGUAUAAGUGUUGGUGCAGUAGGUCUUGUAUUUCCUUGUAUUUCCUUGUGUACGUGUGUUCUCAAAAGAAAAAAGUAAAUUCUGAUGUGUGAGCCUUGAUUCUUGAUGUGGCUCAAUAAUUUAAUAAGGUCCGCAGGUUAGUGGGCGUGUCCAUUGAGGCUAAGCUUUCGGGCUUCCACAUCGGUUAUGGAUGUGUGUGCGUGUAGGUUUAUAAGCGUUGCCAAAGCUUUUCCUAGUCAGCAAUUGUCUGGGUGUAAGUGUUGGUACAGUAAGUCUUAUGUUUCCUAUGCAUGUAUUCUCGAAAGAAAAAAGAAAAAUUAUUGGCCUUUUUAUAUAAUAAUAAUAAAGGUUUAAUUUUAAAUCUUUUAAAAUCAAUAAUAUAAAGAAUAAAAUUAUGUUAAGAGAGAAAAAUAAAUUAAGAUCAUACCCAUAAUUUAUAUAUGUAAGGUUGGUUAUAAUUAUU
RNAcentral lists this unclassified non-coding RNA (1143 nucleotides) under Hevea brasiliensis (rubber tree). Lineage: Eukaryota; Viridiplantae; Streptophyta; Magnoliopsida; Malpighiales; Euphorbiaceae. The record is from RNAcentral.